Molecule: ribosomal RNA, 564 nt
Filed under: Triticum aestivum (bread wheat)
Lineage: Eukaryota; Viridiplantae; Streptophyta; Magnoliopsida; Poales; Poaceae
Description: partial small subunit ribosomal RNA
Source: RNAcentral
AUGACACAGGUGAUUUCCAGGGUGCAAGCAGCAGUAGCAGCACUUGGGGGACAGCUCACAAUGAUCACAGAAGUGCUCAAAAGUCUCAGUGCAGCAGCCCCAUCCACAUCGGUGGUUCCUCCUUCAACGGCACACGCGCAAGAGCCACAUCAGGAAAAAUCCCCAGAAGUUGAGGAAAUUCAGAAGGAAGGGGGGGACGAACAGCAGCGUCCUCUCACUGAAGAACUUAAGAGAUUGUUGAUGGAGCAAGAGAAAACUAGGCAGUUUGCACUGUUAACAGGCAACGAACUGCCUCCUAUCCAGACUGACAGACGAUCAGCUCCACCGGAGCUUGUACCGCUACAAUUUCAAGAUAGACCCUCUGUUCAGGGCUCACCAAUAGCGCCCACAAGGACUACUAGGGUGCCUGCUUUCAAUCAAAUACAACAGCAGGGGAACCGUCUCCAGUGGGAAGACUAUCCCAAAGCAUUUGAAAGCGAUAUGCGAGCUCAGUUCCUCAAAUCCAUGACCAAGAGCCCUAGGAUGGAAUUCCCUCAGUUCGAUGGCACUAAUCCAGCAGGGUAG